Arachis ipaensis is the source of this 462-nucleotide non-coding RNA. Lineage: Eukaryota; Viridiplantae; Streptophyta; Magnoliopsida; Fabales; Fabaceae. The record is from RefSeq and is a predicted model, not a curated record.
UAUAUAUAUUCAAGGUUCUUUGAUAUAGAUCCAACUAAGUCACAACAUGAAUCAAAAUUCCAAAAAUCACUAAAAUGGCAGCACAAUCAACCAUAUAUUAUUCAUUUUAUGAAGUCUAGCAACCUGUAAAGCAAUUUAACAUCAAUGAAAACAUUCUUGGCUAUAAACACUAAGUAGCAACAAUCAUCCAAAAGUAAGUGCAUUCACAAAAAAAUGAAUAACUCAUUCACUUGUUCUAAAAUUUUUAAGAUUCAGAGUAAUGUAAACAUAUUCCAAAAGCAAAAUUAAUAGAAAUAACAGAAAAAAAGGAAUUUAAACUCGUCUUUGAUUGAUGUAACGGAUGGUUCAAAACUCUGCCUCAUCAUUAUCAUUUGUCCCUGAAAUUUAAGCUUAAAAAAAAUUCAUAAAAACAAAUACCAAAAUUGAAGAUAAACAUUAACCCAAAAAUUAAAAUCAUGAACA